GGACAGCCGGAAGGGGGGCCGUUACACUGUAAGAGAGUGAGUACCAGGUCUCACAGUGAACCGGUCUCUUUCCCGACUGGAUC
This 83-nucleotide microRNA precursor is filed under the name Ornithorhynchus anatinus (platypus). RNAcentral describes it as "mir-128 microRNA precursor family". It matches the Rfam family "mir-128 microRNA precursor family". The record is from Rfam by way of RNAcentral. Lineage: Eukaryota; Metazoa; Chordata; Mammalia; Monotremata; Ornithorhynchidae.